GGACAACACAGCAGUCGUGAUUAUAAUGACCUAACAAUUAAGGGUUAGGUGAAAAUCCCUCUACACUCGGGAGACUGUUCUGAAUCUUCAUCACGUACAGGUGCCACAGCUAAGCCUGCGUGCUUGCCCGGUCUCACUCAGAACUGGAAACGCCCUGUGGACUCCUGUUUCCUCACCUCCUGGCCUGCUCCUCUGACCGAAGGACACGGCUCUGGGACUCCUUUCCUUCCUGGCACUGGAUAAGGGCUAAGAUGUUGCUUCUGCAGGUCCUUCCCGCAAUAAAAGUGGAGGUAUCUCUCUCUAGCCAGGGAUCCCCUCUAUGAUCCUGAAACUCCAAUCUCCUCUGGGAUCGAACAUUCAUUUCUGCAGCUGUCUUCUUGCCCAGCAGUGUUCUUGGUUGUGCUUUAAGGCAGCCACACAGGGGUAUUUAUCCAGGACAGCACAGCUGGCAUGUGUCCUGUAACUUUAGUUGUGUCCGACUCUGCGAUCCCGUGGACUGUAGC
Long non-coding RNA from Bos taurus (domestic cattle), 503 nucleotides. NCBI's taxonomy places the organism in Eukaryota, Metazoa, Chordata, Mammalia, Artiodactyla, Bovidae. The record is from Ensembl.